RNAcentral lists this long non-coding RNA (475 nucleotides) under Volvox carteri. RNAcentral's name for it is "long non-coding RNA (VCAR_LNC004186)". Lineage: Eukaryota; Viridiplantae; Chlorophyta; Chlorophyceae; Chlamydomonadales; Volvocaceae. The record is from RNAcentral.
CGGUGAAGCACCCAGGCUGAGUUGCCUUGGGCCGGUAGACUGGGUCGCGUUUAUCCGGAAGGCCAGCCCCAGCGGGUUUGCUCUCGCACGGUGAAGCACCCAGGCUGAGUUGCCUUGGGCCGGUAGACUGGGGUCACGUUUAUCCGGAAGGCCAGCCCCAGCAGGUAUGCUCUCGCGCGGUGAAGCACCCAGGCUGAGUUGCCUUGGGCCGGUAGACUGGGUCGCGUUUAUCCGCAAGGCCAGCCCCAGCGGGUUUGCUCUCGCACGGUGAAGCACCCAGGCUGAGUUGCCUUGGGCCGGUAGACUGGGGUCACGUUUAUCCGGAAGGCCAGCCCCAGCGGGUUUGCUCUCGCACGGCGAAGCACCCAGGCUGAGUUGCCUUGGGCCGGUAGACUGGGUCGUGUUUAUCCGCAAGGCCAGCACCCGCAAGGUUUUGCUCUCGGACAGCGAAGCACCCAGGCUGAGUUGCUUUGGG